RNAcentral lists this ribosomal RNA (406 nucleotides) under uncultured bacterium. Its description in RNAcentral is "partial 16S ribosomal RNA". It matches the Rfam family "Bacterial small subunit ribosomal RNA", at positions 30 to 526 of the family's 1533-position model. The record is from RNAcentral.
AUUGAACGCUGGCGGCAGGCUUAACACAUGCAAGUCGAGCGAGUUGCGAACGGGUGAGUAACGCGUAGGUAACUACCUAUUAGAGGGGGAUAACUAUUGGAAACGAUAGCUAAUACCGCAUACUAGUAGAUGGACCUGCGUUGUAUUAGCUAGUAGGUAGGGUAAUGGCCUACCUAGGCAACGAUACAUAGCCGACCUGGGAGGGUGAUCGGCCACACAGGGAAUGAGACACGGCCCAGACUCCUACGGGAGGCAGCAGUAGGGAAUCUUCGGCAAUGGGGGGAACCCUGACCGAGCAACGCCGCGUGAGUGAAGAAGGUUUUCGGAUCGUAAAGCUCUGUUGUUAAGGAAGCGGUACUUAACCAGAAAGGGACGGCUAACUACGUGCCAGCCGCCGCGGUAAUUC